UCUUGCUCCAGUCAUGACUCUUCUACUUGGCAUGGUUGUUUUACAAGAUGAAGUCAUAAAAUGGAGUCACAUUUGCUCCUACUAUCACAAUCAGAAACGAAAGGGGCUCAGUGAGACAGAAGUCAAGUAAAGGAAGCAAGUUGAAUGAUGUUAAAGGGAUCUGCCCUCAAACCAUCCACUUCUACUAGAGAACACUUCGCCGUUGGACCAGGAAUCCAGUUUGGUACCCAGAGCUGUGCCCAAAACCUUUGCUGGUGUUUCUUUAAAGUGACCUUCUUUUUCCUUCACUGCCAGAGGUCCAAGGAGAAGUUCUGUGCAACUACAGAAAUGCAACUAGCCUGCCUCUGUGAACCAUUCAAGCAGGAAGUCACCAAGUGAAUUCAGCAUGAAGUUGUGCUCUACAGCAGGAAGAAAGGGAAAGGGAGUCUGCAGAGGACCUUUAACUGCUUAUGUGAAAUAUUUUACACCUUUAUGAAAUUAGAGUUCAGAAACAACGUAGCAAAUCUGCUAACUUUGAUUGGCCGGGGGCUCUCUUGGUGUCUGUUGUAUUGUUUUCAGAGACGUGAAGUGUUUCAUGUUUUAAAAUUUUAAUAAAACAAUCUUCCCAAAUUUGAAUUAUGGGAAGAUAAUUUGUAAAGGAAAAGAAUUCACAAACCUCCAAAAUAGAUUUGCAGAGCCAGUUUGGGCAAAGCUGAAAUAGAACACUUACUGGAAGAA
Molecule: non-coding RNA, 717 nt
Organism: Ictidomys tridecemlineatus (thirteen-lined ground squirrel)
Lineage: Eukaryota; Metazoa; Chordata; Mammalia; Rodentia; Sciuridae
Source: RefSeq, a predicted model, not a curated record